AUUUAUUUAGUAUAAUUAGUACAUUUGACUUCCAAUCAAAAAGCUUGGUCUUAUCAAAAUAAAUA
Molecule: transfer RNA, 65 nt
Filed under: Ducetia japonica
Lineage: Eukaryota; Metazoa; Arthropoda; Insecta; Orthoptera; Tettigoniidae
Description: tRNA-Gly
Rfam family: tRNA
About the family: Transfer RNA (tRNA) molecules are approximately 80 nucleotides in length. Their secondary structure includes four short double-helical elements and three loops (D, anti-codon, and T loops).
Source: RNAcentral